RNAcentral lists this ribosomal RNA (656 nucleotides) under uncultured Anaerococcus sp. RNAcentral's name for it is "bacterial SSU rRNA". It matches the Rfam family "Bacterial small subunit ribosomal RNA", at positions 812 to 1468 of the family's 1533-position model. Lineage: Bacteria; Bacillati; Bacillota; Tissierellia; Tissierellales; Peptoniphilaceae. The record is from RNAcentral.
AGUGUUAGGUGUCUGGAGUCAAAUCUGGGUGCCGCAGCAAACGCAUUAAACACUCCGCCUGGGGAGUACGCACGCAAGUGUGAAACUCAAAGGAAUUGACGGGGACCCGCACAAGCAGCGGAGCAUGUGGUUUAAUUCGACGCAACGCGAAGAACCUUACCAAGUCUUGACAUAUUACAGAAGCAGUUAGGGAUAAUUGCUUACAUCUUCGGAUGACUGUAAUACAGGUGGUGCAUGGUUGUCGUCAGCUCGUGUCGUGAGAUGUUGGGUUAAGUCCCAUAACGAGCGCAACCCCUAUUGCUAGUUACCAUCAUUAAGUUGGGGACUCUAGUAAUACUGCCGGUGACAAACCGGAGGAAGGUGGGGAUGACGUCAAAUCAUCAUGCCCUUUAUGACUUGGGCUACACACGUGCUACAAUGGCAGGUACACAGGGUUGCAAGACUGCGAAGUUAAGCGAAACUCAAAAAGCCUGUCCCAGUUCGGAUUGCACUCUGCAACUCGAGUGCAUGAAGUUGGAGUUGCUAGUAAUCGUGGAUCAGAAUGCCGCGGUGAAUGCGUUCCCGGGUCUUGUACACACCGCCCGUCACACCAUGGAAGUUGGCAAUACCCGAAGCCUGUGAGCGAACCCUUGGGGCGCAGCAGUCGAAGGUAGGGU